GAUGAACGCUGGCGGCGUGCCUAAUACAUGCAAGUCGAGCGAACAGACGAGGAGCUUGCUCCUUUGACGUUAGCGGCGGACGGGUGAGUAACACGUAGGUAACCUACCUAUAAGACUGGGAUAACUUCGGGAAACCGGAGCUAAUACCGGAUAAUAUUUCGAACCGCAUGGUUCGAUAGUGAAAGAUGGCUUUGCUAACACUUAUAGAUGGACCUGCGCCGUAUUAGCUAGUUGGUAAGGUAACGGCUUACCAAGGCAACGAUACGUAGCCGACCUGAGAGGGUGAUCGGCCACACUGGAACUGAGACACGGUCCAGACUCCUACGGGAGGCAGCAGUAGGGAAUCUUCCGCAAUGGGCGAAAGCCUGACGGAGCAACGCCGCGUGAGUGAUGAAGGUCUUCGGAUCGUAAAACUCUGUUAUUAGGGAAGAACAAACGUGUAAGUAACUGUGCACGUCUUGACGGUACCUAAUCAGAAAGCCACGGCUAACUACGUG
Molecule: ribosomal RNA, 497 nt
Filed under: uncultured bacterium
Lineage: Bacteria
Description: partial 16S ribosomal RNA
Rfam family: Bacterial small subunit ribosomal RNA
Source: RNAcentral